Molecule: ribosomal RNA, 738 nt
Filed under: uncultured Bacilli bacterium
Lineage: Bacteria; Bacillati; Bacillota; Bacilli
Description: bacterial SSU rRNA
Rfam family: Bacterial small subunit ribosomal RNA
Source: RNAcentral
GACGAACGCUGGCGGCGUGCCUAAUACAUGCAAGUCGAGCGAGCUUGCCUAGAUGAAUUUGGUGCUUGCACCAAAUGAAACUAGAUACAAGCGAGCGGCGGACGGGUGAGUAACACGUGGGUAACCUGCCCAAGAGACUGGGAUAACACCUGGAAACAGAUGCUAAUACCGGAUAACAACACUAGACGCAUGUCUAGAGUUUAAAAGAUGGUUCUGCUAUCACUCUUGGAUGGACCUGCGGUGCAUUAGCUAGUUGGUAAGGUAACGGCUUACCAAGGCAAUGAUGCAUAGCCGAGUUGAGAGACUGAUCGGCCACAUUGGGACUGAGACACGGCCCAAACUCCUACGGGAGGCAGCAGUAGGGAAUCUUCCACAAUGGACGCAAGUCUGAUGGAGCAACGCCGCGUGAGUGAAGAAGGGUUUCGGCUCGUAAAGCUCUGUUGGUAGUGAAGAAAGAUAGAGGUAGUAACUGGCCUUUAUUUGACGGUAAUUACUUAGAAAGUCACGGCUAACUACGUGCCAGCAGCCGCGGUAAUACGUAGGUGGCAAGCGUUGUCCGGAUUUAUUGGGCGUAAAGCGAGUGCAGGCGGUUCAAUAAGUCUGAUGUGAAAGCCUUCGGCUCAACCGGAGAAUUGCAUCAGAAACUGUUGAACUUGAGUGCAGAAGAGGAGAGUGGAACUCCAUGUGUAGCGGUGGAAUGCGUAGAUAUAUGGAAGAACACCAGUGGCGAAGGCGGCU